RNAcentral lists this ribosomal RNA (703 nucleotides) under uncultured Shigella sp. Its description in RNAcentral is "bacterial SSU rRNA". The stretch from base 74 to 703 matches the Rfam family "Bacterial small subunit ribosomal RNA", at positions 874 to 1506 of the family's 1533-position model. Lineage: Bacteria; Pseudomonadati; Pseudomonadota; Gammaproteobacteria; Enterobacterales; Enterobacteriaceae. The record is from RNAcentral.
ACGUCACGAAUGUCGCGCUGGUGGUUGUGCCCUUGACGCGUGUCUUCGUGAGCUCUCACGUUUGUCCACCGCCUGGGGAGUAUAGCCGCGCGGUUAUAACUCUCAUGAGUUUUGAGGGGCCCCCACAAACGGUGGAGAACGUGGUUUAUUUCUCUGCGCCGCGAAAAAACUUAUCUGGUCUUGACAUCCACACCGGAUUUCACAGAUGAUGGUGUGCCUUCGGGAACCGUGAAACAGGUGCUGCAUGGCUGUCGUCACCUCGGGUUGUGAAAUGUUGGGUUAAUUCCCGCACCGAGCGCACCCCUUAUCCUUUGUUGCCGCCGGUCCUGCCGGGAACUCAUAGGAGACUGCCGGUGAUAAACUGGAGGAAGGUGGGGAUGACGUCAAAUCAUCAUGGCCCUUACGACUUGGGCUACACACGUGCUACAAUGGCGCAUACAAAGAGCUGCGACCUCGCGAGAUGGACGGACCUCAUAAAGUGCGGUCUAGUCCGGAUUGGAGGUCUGCAAACUCGAUCUCUGAAAUCGGAAUCCCUUGUAAUCCUGGAUCAAAUGCGCUGCUGAAAACAUUCUCGGGCCUUGUACACACCGCCCGUCACACCUCGUGAGUGGGUUGCACACCAAAUACGUGUCUUAUCCUUCUUGAGGACGCUUACCACUUUGGGAUUCUCGACGGGGGUGACUUCGUCACGGGGGGCCAUCCA